UUCCGGUUGAUCCCGCCGGACCCGACUGCUAUCAGAGUGGGACUAAGCCAUGCGAGUCAACAUAGCAAUAUGUGGCAUACGGCUCAGUAACACGUAGUCAACAUGCCCAGGGGACGUGGAUAACCUCGGGAAACUGAGGAUAAACCACGAUAGGUCAUCACUUCUGGAAUGGGUAAUGACUUAAAUCUAUAUGGCCCCUGGAUUGGACUGCGGCCGAUCAGGCUGUUGGUGAGGUAAUGGCCCACCAAACCUGUAACCGGUACGGGCUCUGAGAGGAGGAGCCCGGAGAUGGGCACUGAGACAAGGGCCCAGGCCCUAUGGGGCGCAGCAGGCGCGAAACCUCUGCAAUAGGCGAAAGCUUGACAGGGUUACUCUGAGUGAUUUCCGUUAAGGAGAUCUUUUGGCAUCUCUAAAAAUGGUGCAGAAUAAGGGGUGGGCAAGUCUGGUGUCAGCCGCCGCGGUAAUACCAGCACCCCGAGUGGUCGGGACGUUUAUUGGGCCUAAAGCAUCCGUAGCCGGUUCUACAAGUCUUCCGUUAAAUCCACCUGCUUAACAGAUGGGCUGCGGAAGAUACUAUAGAGCUAGGAGGCGGGAGAGGCAAGCGGUACUCGAUGGGUAGGGGUAAAAUCCGUUGAUCCAUUGAAGACCACCAGUGGCGAAGGCGGCUUGCCAGAACGCGCUCGACGGUGAGGGAUGAAAGCUGGGGGAGCAAAUCGGAUUAGAUACCCGGGUAGUCCCAGCUGUAAACGAUGCAGACUCGGUGAUGAGUUGGCUUAUUGCUAACUCAGUGCCGCAGGGAAGCCGUUAAGUUUGCCGCCUGGGGAGUACGGUCGCAAGACUGAAACUUAAAGGAAUUGGCGGGGGAGCACCACAAGGGGUGAAGCCUGCGGUUCAAUUGGAGUCAACGCCGGG
Molecule: ribosomal RNA, 912 nt
Filed under: uncultured compost archaeon
Lineage: Archaea
Description: bacterial SSU rRNA
Rfam family: Archaeal small subunit ribosomal RNA
Source: RNAcentral